This 253-nucleotide ribosomal RNA is filed under the name uncultured bacterium. RNAcentral describes it as "partial 16S ribosomal RNA". It matches the Rfam family "Bacterial small subunit ribosomal RNA", at positions 524 to 776 of the family's 1533-position model. The record is from RNAcentral.
UACGGAGGGUGCGAGCGUUGUUCGGAAUCACUGGGCGUAAAGCGCGUGUAGGCGGCCUGCUAAGUCUGAUGUGAAAGCCCGAGGCUCACCCUCGGAAGCGCAUUGGAAACUGGCAGACUGGAGUCCCGGAGAGGAGGGUGGAAUUCCUGGUGUAGCGGUGAAAUGCGUAGAUAUCAGGAGGAACACCAGUGGCGAAGGCGGCUCACUGGCCCGGUACUGACGCUGAGGCGCGAAAGCGUGGGGAGCGAACAGG